UACGGAGGGUGCAAGCAUUAAUCGGAUUUAUUGGGCGUAAAGGGCGCGUAGGCGGGUUAUUAAGUCAGAUGUGAAAUCCCAGAGCUCAACUCUGGAACAGCAUAUGAAACUGAUAGUCUUGAGGGUAGGCGGAGAAAAUGGAAUUCCACAAGUAGCGGUGAAAUGCGUAGAUAUGUGGAAGAACACCAGUGGCGAAGGCGAUUUUCUAGCUUAUACCUGACGCUAAUGCGCGAAAGCAAGGGGAGCAAACAGG
This 253-nucleotide ribosomal RNA is filed under the name uncultured bacterium. Its description in RNAcentral is "partial 16S ribosomal RNA". It matches the Rfam family "Bacterial small subunit ribosomal RNA", at positions 524 to 776 of the family's 1533-position model. The record is from RNAcentral.